This 253-nucleotide ribosomal RNA is filed under the name uncultured bacterium. Its description in RNAcentral is "partial 16S ribosomal RNA". It matches the Rfam family "Bacterial small subunit ribosomal RNA", at positions 524 to 776 of the family's 1533-position model. The record is from RNAcentral.
UACGGAGGGGGCAAGCGUUGUUCGGAAUUACUGGGCGUAAAGGGCGCGUAGGCGGCCUUCUAAGUCGAACGUGAAAUCCCCGGGCUCAACCCGGGAACUGCGUCCGAUACUGGAAGGCUUGAAUCCGGGAGAGGGAUGCGGAAUUCCAGGUGUAGCGGUGAAAUGCGUAGAUAUCUGGAGGAACACCGGUGGCGAAGGCGGCAUCCUGGACCGACACUGACGCUGAGGAGCGAAAGCCAGGGGAGCAAACGGG